Non-coding RNA from Aedes albopictus (Asian tiger mosquito), 58 nucleotides. The record is from Rfam. Lineage: Eukaryota; Metazoa; Arthropoda; Insecta; Diptera; Culicidae.
UAGCCUAGUGAUUAAGGCUAUGGAUCGAUAAUCCGGAGACGGCGGGUUCGAUUCCCGU